GUGGGGAAUAUUGGACAAUGGGCGCAAGCCUGAUCCAGCCAUGCCGCGUGAGUGAUGAAGGCCCUAGGGUUGUAAAGCUCUUUCAGUGGGGACGAUAAUGACGGUACCCACAGAAGAAGCCCCGGCUAACUUCGUGCCAGCAGCCGCGGUAAUACGAAGGGGGCUCGCGUUGUUCGGAUUUACUGGGCGUAAAGCGCACGUAGGCGGAUCGUUAAGUCGAGGGUGAAAUCCUGGAGCUCAACUCCAGAACUGCCUUCGAUACUGGCGAUCUUGAGUCCGGAAGAGGUGAGUGGAACUCCUAGUGUAGAGGUGGAAUUCGUAGAUAUUAGGAAGAACACCAGUGGCGAAGGCGGCUCACUGGUCCGGUACUGACGCUGAGGUGCGAAAGCGUGGGGAGCAAACAGGAUUAGAAACCCUUGUAGUCC
This 425-nucleotide ribosomal RNA is filed under the name uncultured bacterium. RNAcentral's name for it is "partial 16S ribosomal RNA". It matches the Rfam family "Bacterial small subunit ribosomal RNA", at positions 354 to 796 of the family's 1533-position model. The record is from RNAcentral.